RNAcentral lists this unclassified non-coding RNA (262 nucleotides) under uncultured fungus. RNAcentral's name for it is "partial contains small subunit ribosomal RNA, internal transcribed spacer 1, and 5.8S ribosomal RNA". The stretch from base 1 to 73 matches the Rfam family "Eukaryotic small subunit ribosomal RNA", at positions 1759 to 1831 of the family's 1831-position model. The record is from RNAcentral. Lineage: Eukaryota; Fungi.
UCAAACUUGGUCAUUUAGAGGAAGUAAAAGUCGUAACAAGGUCUCCGUAGGUGAACCUGCGGAGGGAUCAUUACCGAGUCCUGCCCCCGGGCAGAUCUCCUACCCAAUGUGAUUUCUACCCUCGUUGCCUUGGCGGGCUGCCAACCGGCGCCUGCCAGAGGGCCCCUAGACCCUGAACGUCGGUGCCGUCUGGGUACAACAUAUAGCGAUUAAAACUUUCAACAACGGAUCUCUUGGUUCUGGCAUCGAUGAAGAACGCAGC